RNAcentral lists this ribosomal RNA (468 nucleotides) under uncultured bacterium. Its description in RNAcentral is "partial 16S ribosomal RNA". The stretch from base 58 to 468 matches the Rfam family "Bacterial small subunit ribosomal RNA", at positions 39 to 507 of the family's 1533-position model. The record is from RNAcentral.
GGGGGGGGGGGGGGGGGGGCGGAGGGGGUGCAGGUGGGGGGGGGGGGGCCUGGUUUUGUGGGGUGCUCGAGUGGCGGACGGGUGAGUGACACGUGAGUAACCUGCCCUUGACUUUGGGGUAACGUCCGGAAACGGGGGCUAAUACCGGCUAGGAGCUCCUGCUGCCUGGUGGGUUUUUGCACGUUUCGGCGGUUGGGGAUGGGCUCGUCGCUUAUCAGGUUGUGUGGGGGGUAGUGGCUUCCCAAGGUUUGGACGGGUAUCCGGCCUGAGAGGGUGACCGGCCACAUUGGGACUGCGAUACGGCCCAGACUCCUACGGGAGGCAGCAGUGGGGAAUAUUGCACAAUGGGCGGAAGCCUGAUGCAGCAACGCCGCGUGCGGGAUGACGGCCUUCGGGUUGUAAACCGCUUUCGCCUGUGACGAAGCGUGAGUGACGGUAAUGGGUAAAGAAGCACCGGCUAACUACGUG